This 211-nucleotide long non-coding RNA is filed under the name Daucus carota (carrot). RNAcentral describes it as "long non-coding RNA (DCAR_LNC004370)". Lineage: Eukaryota; Viridiplantae; Streptophyta; Magnoliopsida; Apiales; Apiaceae. The record is from RNAcentral.
UUAUUAUUCUCUUUACAAUUUCCGCUUUCUCGUAAUUUGUCGGUCUAUCUAUUCCGAAACAACGCCCGUUUUUCUACUUUACAUGAAACCAUUUGUCAGAAACGUGAUCAAUCACGGACCUAUACGUGACCUCGUUGUCUAGAAAAUUUAACCUCGUCCUCAAGAGCAUCUUCAACAUUUAAAAUUUUCUAAGAAAAAACAUCGGUGAUAU